Molecule: ribosomal RNA, 1419 nt
Filed under: Ophiopholis mirabilis
Lineage: Eukaryota; Metazoa; Echinodermata; Ophiuroidea; Amphilepidida; Ophiactidae
Description: 16S ribosomal RNA
Rfam family: Bacterial large subunit ribosomal RNA
Source: RNAcentral
UGCUCAAUUGUAAGACCCAAGUAACAUUUUUUUAUAUAAUAGUGUAAUUAGGUUUUUAAAAUAAAACAAUUUUAAAUUAAUUUUGGUUUUAAGUAUAGUGUAUAGAACUUUAACUUUAUGGGUUCUUUAUUUUGUACCGUGAGGGAGCAUUGAAAUAUAAUUAGCGUUAAAGCUUUAGAUAAUAAAAUAAAAUUUUGUACUUUUUGUAUUACGGUAAAACAAAUUGUUAUGACUUCAGGUGUCAUUAAACGAAACAGGUCGAUCUAUUUUUUUCUGUAGUUUAGCUAUGUUAUUAGGGUGUUGCAAAACUUCUAAUAUGAGGAAAAAGUAGUAGCAAAAUGUUAAUCGUGUCCUGUGUUAGCUUUUUAACAAGGAAUAAAGUAUAAGCUUUCCCUGGGAAAAACUAGGUUAGAAGCUCUCGGAUGAGCGUGAGCUUCUUUGGGGAGUCAGCCCUUAACUCUAAGAAAGGGCAUCAAACUAUUAGAAUAUUUAGGCGAGUAGGUUAGUUUUAGCAACUCUCUCAGCCAGUGCGUUGUAGCAGACUAAAUUUCUUAUUUUAUGUAUAUAAUCACCCUAUCUUGGUUUUUUUACUUGUUUCGAAGAAUAAUUUUCUUGUGUUAAUGUUUUAAUGAGUAAGUUUUUCUGAGUUUAUAAUAUAACCUUUUCUAUUAAACAACUGCUUAUGCCCUGUUUAUUUGUUUUAGUGUUCUUAUUAAAGUUAGAAGUAUUUAUUAAUCUAAGUAGGAAAAGGAACUCGGCAAAUAUUUCUUGCGCCUGUUUACCAAAAACAACGCCCUUGGAAGAAGAUCAGUGGGUUCUGCCUGCCCGGUGACUUAGGUUAAACGGCUGCAGUAUUCUGACUGUGCAAAGGUAGCAAAAUCAAUUGUUCAUUAAUUGUGGACUGGUAUCAACGGCUAGACGACAAGAAGACUGUCUUUUUCUACUAAUCCUGAAUUUUACUUUUAGGUGAAGAGGCCUAAAUUUUUUAGUGGGACGAGAAGACCCUAUUGAGCUUUAACUACUUACUAUAUUAAAAUACAUAAGUAGUUUGGGUUGGGGCAACCGAUCUUAAUUUUAAAACAAGGUUGAUUUCAUAUUAAAAUUAAUUUUUAUUUUGACCCAAAAUAUUUUGAUCAUUAGAAAAAGUUACCUUAGGGAUAACAGCGUAAUUUUUUCAGAGAGUCCUUAUUGACGAAAAAGUUUGCGACCUCGAUGUUGGAUCAUAGUCUCCUAGGGGUGCAGCAGCUCCUGAGGGUUGGUUUGUUCAACCAUUAAAACUAUACGCGAUCUGAGUUCAGUCCGUCGUGAGACAGGACAGUUUCUAUCUACUAAACUCCCUUUUCUUGUACGAAAGGAAUUUUAAGGGGUAGCUGAUGAGCAAUUUAAGCUAUAUAAAACACUUGAAUCUGAUAAUAAAGA